Molecule: ribosomal RNA, 447 nt
Filed under: uncultured Anaerolineaceae bacterium
Lineage: Bacteria; Bacillati; Chloroflexota; Anaerolineae; Anaerolineales; Anaerolineaceae
Description: bacterial SSU rRNA
Rfam family: Bacterial small subunit ribosomal RNA
Source: RNAcentral
GGGGCCCGCACAAGCAGCGGAGCAUGUGGCUUAAUUCGACGCAACGCGAAGAACCUUACCAGGCUUGACAUGCAGGGAAAAGCGGCGGAAACGUCGUGUCCGAAAGGGCCCUGCACAGGUGGUGCAUGGCUGUCGUCAGCUCGUGUCGUGAGAUGUUGGGUUAAGUCCCGCAACGAGCGCAACCCUCGUCGUAUGUUAUAUGUGUCAUACGAGACUGCCGGUAAAAGCCGGAGGAAGGUGAGGAUGAUGUCAAGUCAGCAUGACCUUUAUAUCCAGGGCUACACACACGCUACAAUGGUCUGUACAAUGGGUAGCCAAGCCGCGAGGCGGAGCCAAUCCUGAAAGCAGGCCUCAGUUCAGAUUGCAGUCUGCAACUCGACUGCAUGAAGCCGGAGUUGCUAGUAACCGCAGGUCAGCAAUACUGCGGUGAAUACGUUCCCGGGUCUU